Molecule: ribosomal RNA, 425 nt
Filed under: uncultured bacterium
Lineage: Bacteria
Description: bacterial SSU rRNA
Rfam family: Bacterial small subunit ribosomal RNA
Source: RNAcentral
GAAGACCUUACCUACCCUUGACAUGCCAGGGAGCUUGCUGAGAGGCGAGUGUGCCCGAAAGGGAACCUGGACACAGGUGCUGCAUGGCUGUCGUCAGCUCGUGUCGUGAGAUGUUGGGUUAAGUCCCGCAACGAGCGCAACCCUUGUCACUAGUUGCUACGAAAGGGCACUCUAGUGAGACUGCCGGUGACAAACCGGAGGAAGGUGGGGAUGACGUCAAGUCCUCAUGGCCCUUAUGGGUAGGGCUUCACACGUCAUACAAUGGCGCAUACAGAGGGCUGCCAACCCGCGAGGGGGAGCCAAUCCCAGAAAGUGCGUCGUAGUCCGGAUUGCAGUCUGCAACUCGACUGCAUGAAGUCGGAAUCGCUAGUAAUCGCGGAUCAGCAAUGUCGCGGUGAAUACGUUCCCGGGUCUUGUACACACCG